This 490-nucleotide ribosomal RNA is filed under the name uncultured Flavobacterium sp. RNAcentral describes it as "bacterial SSU rRNA". It matches the Rfam family "Bacterial small subunit ribosomal RNA", at positions 28 to 519 of the family's 1533-position model. Lineage: Bacteria; Pseudomonadati; Bacteroidota; Flavobacteriia; Flavobacteriales; Flavobacteriaceae. The record is from RNAcentral.
GAUGAACGCUAGCGGCAGGCUUAACACAUGCAAGUCGAGGGGUAGAACACUUCGGUGUUUGAGACCGGCGCACGGGUGCGUAACGCGUAUGCAAUCUGCCUUUCACAGAGGGAUAGCCCAGAGAAAUUUGGAUUAAUACCUCAUAGUAUUGAGAACCGGCAUCGGUUUUUAAUUAAAGUCACAACGGUGAAAGAUGAGCAUGCGUCCCAUUAGCUAGUUGGUAAGGUAACGGCUUACCAAGGCUACGAUGGGUAGGGGUCCUGAGAGGGAGAUCCCCCACACUGGUACUGAGACACGGACCAGACUCCUACGGGAGGCAGCAGUGAGGAAUAUUGGUCAAUGGACGCAAGUCUGAACCAGCCAUGCCGCGUGCAGGAUGACGGUCCUAUGGAUUGUAAACUGCUUUUGUACGAGAAGAAACACUCCUUCGUGAAGGAGCUUGACGGUAUCGUAAGAAUAAGGAUCGGCUAACUCCGUGCCAGCAGCCGCG